Molecule: ribosomal RNA, 822 nt
Filed under: uncultured Actinomycetes bacterium
Lineage: Bacteria; Bacillati; Actinomycetota; Actinomycetes
Description: bacterial SSU rRNA
Rfam family: Bacterial small subunit ribosomal RNA
Source: RNAcentral
GCGGCCGCCAUGGCGGCCGGGAGCAUGCGACGUCGGGCCCAUUCGCCCUAUCGUGAGUCGUAUUAAGCCCUUGACUUUGGGAUAACUUCAGGAAACUGGGGCUAAUACCGGAUAGGAGCUCCUGCUGCAAGGUGGGGGUUGGAAAGUUUCGGCGGUUGGGGAUGGACUCGCGGCUUAUCAGCUUGUUGGUGGGGUAGUGGCUUACCAAGGCUUUGACGGGUAGCCGGCCUGUGAGGGUGACCGGCCACAUUGGGACUGAGAUACGGCCCAGACUCCUACGGGAGGCAGCAGUGGGAAUAUCGCACAAUGGACGGAAGCCUGAUGCAGCAACGCCGCGUGCGGGAUGACGGCCUUCGGGUUGUAAACCGCUUUCGCCUGUGACGAAGCGUGAGUGACGGUAAUGGGUAAAGAAGCACCGGCUAACUACGUGCCAGCAGCCGCGGUGAUACGUAGGGUGCGAGCGUUGUCCGGAUUUAUUGGGCGUAAAGGGCUCGUAGGUGGUUGAUCGCGUCGGAAGUGUAAUCUUGGGGCUUAACCCUGAGCGUGCUUUCGAUACGGGUUGACUUGAGGAAGGUAGGGGAGAAUGGAAUUCCUGGUGGAGCGGUGGAAUGCGCAGAUAUCAGGAGGAACACCAGUGGCGAAGGCGGUUCUCUGGGCCUUUCCUGACGCUGAGGAGCGAAAGCGUGGGGAGCGAACAGGCUUAGAUACCCUGGUAGUCCACGCUGUAAACGGUGGGUACUAGGUGUGGGGUCCAUUCCACGGGUUCCGUGCCGUAGCUAACGCUUUAAGUACCCCGCCUGGGGAGUACGGCCGCAAGGCUAA